GACGAGGACAUUCUAACCGGAAGAGGAGGACAGGAGGGGUUUAAGACAAAAACAAAAACAGGAAGCUCGAAACGACGACGUCGGCUGGGUUUUGUUGCGGUGUCUGAGGCUGCAUUGCCGCACCUCCGCCCGCGCGCGCAAGCAAUCCCAACGCGUCGCGUCUCUUUCCGGCCGACGUGUCUCGCGUGACGUCUUAGAGAGAGAACCGAAACAGAAAGCGACGGAAAGAAAAAAACACACGAAACGCCUUACGCGAAACGUUUCCGUC
Molecule: long non-coding RNA, 268 nt
Filed under: Rosa chinensis
Lineage: Eukaryota; Viridiplantae; Streptophyta; Magnoliopsida; Rosales; Rosaceae
Description: sRNA RchiOBHm_Chr5g0072691
Source: RNAcentral